UCCCUCUCAGGGUCGCACCUGUGAGUUUCCAGUACUCUGCCAGUCUCAGCUUCGGGAGGGAGAGUCAAGCAGAGGUCUAUCCAUUCCAUUCCUAGCUUGGGCAGUGGCUAGUGAGUGGAAGGUGAUCUGCUACAAGG
This 137-nucleotide small nucleolar RNA is filed under the name Ornithorhynchus anatinus (platypus). Lineage: Eukaryota; Metazoa; Chordata; Mammalia; Monotremata; Ornithorhynchidae. The record is from RNAcentral.